RNAcentral lists this ribosomal RNA (525 nucleotides) under uncultured bacterium. Its description in RNAcentral is "bacterial SSU rRNA". It matches the Rfam family "Bacterial small subunit ribosomal RNA", at positions 777 to 1297 of the family's 1533-position model. The record is from RNAcentral.
AAUAGAUACCCCGGGUAGUCCACGCCGUAAACGAUGAGUGCUAAGUGUUAGAGGGUUUCCGCCCUUUAGUGCUGCAGCUAACGCAUUAAGCACUCCGCCUGGGGAGUACGGCCGCAAGGCUGAAACUCAAAGGAAUUGACGGGGGGCCCGCACAAGCGGUGGAGCAUGUGGUUUAAUUCGAAGCAACGCGAAGAACCUUACCAGGUCUUGACAUCCUCUGCCAACCCUAGAGAUAGGGGCGUUCCCCUUCGGGGGACAGAGUGACAGGUGGUGCAUGGUUGUCGUCAGCUCGUGUCGUGAGAUGUUGGGUUAAGUCCCGCAACGAGCGCAACCCUUGAUCUUAGUUGCCAGCAUUCAGUUGGGCACUCUAAGGUGACUGCCGGUGACAAACCGGAGGAAGGUGGGGAUGACGUCAAAUCAUCAUGCCCCUUAUGACCUGGGCUACACACGUGCUACAAUGGAUGGUACAAAGAGUUGCGAACCCGCGAGGGUAAGCCAAUCUCAUAAAGCCAUUCUCAGUUCGGA